AUGCUCGCUUCAGCAGCACAUGUACUAAAGGUGGAACAAUACAGAGAACAUUAGCAUGGCCCCUGUGCAAGGAUGACAGGCAAAUUCAUGAAGCAUUCCAUAACAAA
Neogale vison (American mink) is the source of this 107-nucleotide small nuclear RNA. Lineage: Eukaryota; Metazoa; Chordata; Mammalia; Carnivora; Mustelidae. The record is from Ensembl.